GCGUACUGUCAUUUCCUUCCCUUAGUUGAUUGAAACAUAGUAUUUCUUUCUUCUCCCAGGAUGUGAACAAUGUUCUCAGGCUAAACUUAAUGCCCUCAAUAAAAUAUAACUUCAUAUUUCAGAAUGAAAUUAAAAAUUCAUGUCCAUUCCUUCAUAAGAACUGUCAAAUGUGUCGAGCUGCUCUAAUAUUAAAAUGGCUCUUGUUUCUUUCUCAUUCCCGCAGCUGUAGGGGAACUUCUCAAACGUGGCUCCCCAAAAUGCUCAUCAGUCAAGCUCAAGCUGAUAUAUUAAUGCAGACUCCUGUGGAUUUGAUUCAGCAUAACAAGUAGUUAUAGGCCUAUAUCAUAGCACUCACACAAUUUGGCAAUCAAUUCUGAGCUUUAUAUAACACAAAGAAAUAUAUUACAGGCCUACAGUCAGAUGAUACCUUGUCUCAUUCCUACUGUUUGUCUUUCUCUUACCAUACAUCUCAUUCUCAUCAAUAUCCAUGAGAGUGAAAAUUAUAGCCUUGCACUCGACGACUGUCCUGAGAGAAAUGAAUUGAUAAACAGAUAGAGCUGCUUCAUCUCUUGUUUAAAGGGUAAGUGCCACUUAGACAGGCAAUGCAAAAGCAUUAAUGCAAAAUUCUCCCUCCCACCUUCCCAUUCUCCGCAGUCGUCGUUGUCCUCUUAGAACUCAACAAGUUUCAGAAAACAAAAGAUGCCACAUAAAACUGAAGAGGAGGGAGGAAAAUAAAACAAACUCAGACCACGUGCAAGUGAAAAAAAUGACGAGAGAGUCAACGACAGACGUAUGAAGAUGGCUGAGAUGAAUAGAGCACUCUACAUCACAGGUGGUGCCAAGUCCAUUAAAGCCUCCGACAGCAAACAACUGACCAUCAACUACCUGGAUUUUGAGGAAGCAUACACUAGAUCUCCAUAAGCGAUCACACCAACACCACUGCGACGGCUUUUCAUGGGAGCGAUGAGAGUCCACUGGUCUGUUUCAGGGUUAUAGCUCUCAGCGGAAAAGAGACACACAAUCCCGGAAUUAAGAGUCUCCAGCAGAAGAGUAUGUAGUCAUGGUUUUGUUCCAGUUCCCUGUGCCGUUUGUUUCGUUCCUGAUAUUGUUUAAAUUGUCUCUGCUUCACUUCACUGGAUUUCUCAUUGGACUGUCAGCAGAUGACGCUCAGCCCGUUGUAGUCUCCUCGCUUCCAAGGCCUGCCAUUCACCAUCUUCUAGCGAGG
Molecule: long non-coding RNA, 1225 nt
Organism: Ctenopharyngodon idella (grass carp)
Lineage: Eukaryota; Metazoa; Chordata; Actinopteri; Cypriniformes; Xenocyprididae
Exons: 5
Source: RefSeq, a predicted model, not a curated record